UACGGCCAUAUACCGUUGAAACACUAGUUCCCGUACAAUCAUCGAAGUUAAGCAACGUCGAACCUGGUCAGUGCCUAGAUGGGUGACUUCUUGGGAAAUGUGCGGGAUG
This 109-nucleotide ribosomal RNA is filed under the name Acanthosepion pharaonis. Lineage: Eukaryota; Metazoa; Mollusca; Cephalopoda; Sepiida; Sepiidae. The record is from RNAcentral.